CGGGACACGUGGUAUCCUGUCUGAAUAUGGGGGGACCAUCCUCCAAGGCUAAAUACUCCUGACUGACCGAUAGUGAACCAGUACCGUGAGGGAAAGGCGAAAAGAACCCCGGCGAGGGGAGUGAAAAAGAACCUGAAACCGUGUACGUACAAGCAGUGGGAGCCUCUUAAUGGGGUGACUGCGUACCUUUUGUAUAAUGGGUCAGCGACUUAUAUUCUGUAGCAAGGUUAACCGAAUAGGGGAGCCGAAGGGAAACCGAGUCUUAACUGGGCGUUAAGUUGCAGGGUAUAGACCCGAAACCCGGUGAUCUAGCCAUGGGCAGGUUGAAGGUUGGGUAACACUAACUGGAGGACCGAACCGACUAAUGUUGAAAAAUUAGCGGAUGACUUGUGGCUGGGGGUGAAAGGCCAAUCAAACCGGGAGAUAGCUGGUUCUCCCCGAAAGCUAUUUAGGUAGCGCCUCGUGAAUUCAUCUCCGGGGGUAGAGCACUGUUUCGGCAAGGGGGUCAUCCCGACUUACCAACCCGAUGCAAACUGCGAAUACCGGAGAAUGUUAUCACGGGAGACACACGGCGGGUGCUAACGUCCGUCGUGAAGAGGGAAACAACCCAGACCGCCAGCUAAGGUCCCAAAGUCAUGGUUAAGUGGGAAACGAUGUGGGAAGGCCCAGACAGCCAGGAUGUUGGCUUAGAAGCAGCCAUCAUUUAAAGAAAGCGUAAUAGCUCACUGGUCGAGUCGGCCUGCGCGGAAGAUGUAACGGGGCUAAACCAUGCACCGAAGCUGCGGCAGCGACGUUUAUGCGUUGUUGGGUAGGGGAGCGUUCUGUAAGCCUGCGAAGGUGUACUGUGAGGUAUGCUGGAGGUAUCAGAAGUGCGAAUGCUGACAUAAGUAACGAUAAAGCGGGUGAAAAGCCCGCUCGCCGGAAGACCAAGGGUUCCUGUCCAACGUUAAUCGGGGCAGGGUGAGUCGACCCCUAAGGCGAGGCCGAAAGGCGUAGUCGAUGGGAAACAGGUUAAUAUUCCUGUACUUGGUGUUACUGCGAAGGGGGGACGGAGAAGGCUAUGUUGGCCGGGCGACGGUUGUCCCGGUUUAAGCGUGUAGGCUGGUUUUCCAGGCAAAUCCGGAAAAUCAAGGCUGAGGCGUGAUGACGAGGCACUACGGUGCUGAAGCAACAAAUGCCCUGCUUCCAGGAAAAGCCUCUAAGCAUCAGGUAACAUCAAAUCGUACCCCAAACCGACACAGGUGGUCAGGUAGAGAAUACCAAGGCGCUUGAGAGAACUCGGGUGAAGGAACUAGGCAAAAUGGUGCCGUAACUUCGGGAGAAGGCACGCUGAUAUGUAGGUGAAGUCCCUCGCGGAUGGAGCUGAAAUCAGUCGAAGAUACCAGCUGGCUGCAACUGUUUAUUAAAAACACAGCACUGUGCAAACACGAAAGUGGACGUAUACGGUGUGACGCCUGCCCGGUGCCGGAAGGUUAAUUGAUGGGGUUAGCGGUAACGCGAAGCUCUUGAUCGAAGCCCCGGUAAACGGCGGCCGUAACUAUAACGGUCCUAAGGUAGCGAAAUUCCUUGUCGGGUAAGUUCCGACCUGCACGAAUGGCGUAAUGAUGGCCAGGCUGUCUCCACCCGAGACUCAGUGAAAUUGAACUCGCUGUGAAGAUGCAGUGUACCCGCGGCAAGACGGAAAGACCCCGUGAACCUUUACUAUAGCUUGACACUGAACAUUGAGCCUUGAUGUGUAGGAUAGGUGGGAGGCUUUGAAGUGUGG
This 1765-nucleotide ribosomal RNA is filed under the name Escherichia coli. RNAcentral describes it as "partial 23S ribosomal RNA". It matches the Rfam family "Bacterial large subunit ribosomal RNA", at positions 418 to 2167 of the family's 2925-position model. The record is from RNAcentral. Lineage: Bacteria; Pseudomonadati; Pseudomonadota; Gammaproteobacteria; Enterobacterales; Enterobacteriaceae.